UGGUCCAUUCAGACUAGUGUCCCCAGUCUUCUUCGGAACGCUGUCCAACCUCUGCCGAGCUGAGACUUGAAGACCUCACAGACCGUCCCCCUGCCAGGCAUUCCCACCGCACCCUCUGUCAUGGUCCGGCUUCACAGAGGUUUGGAUCUCGCUGUCAUUAACCUCUCUACUUCCUGUCGCUGUUUUUUGUUCUCGGCGCUCCACGCCUGCCUGCCUCCCUGCCCAGCACUUCACAGCGAGUGUGCGCGAACUGGUUUAGCCUCACCUGGACCACUAUUCCCCCCAAGCCUCGCCUUCCACCCAGACAAUGACUCUGACAGCGUAACCCUGUAAACCUCUACCUUGUGUGCCUGCUAGAGCCGUGCCCAGGCUGUUUUCUCCAGCCA
Molecule: long non-coding RNA, 386 nt
Organism: Oreochromis aureus
Lineage: Eukaryota; Metazoa; Chordata; Actinopteri; Cichliformes; Cichlidae
Source: Ensembl